Molecule: ribosomal RNA, 551 nt
Filed under: uncultured Acidobacteriota bacterium
Lineage: Bacteria; Pseudomonadati; Acidobacteriota
Description: bacterial SSU rRNA
Rfam family: Bacterial small subunit ribosomal RNA
Source: RNAcentral
UGGGGAAUAUUGCGCAAUGGGGGAAACCCUGACGCAGCAACGCCGCGUGGAGGAUGAAGGCCUUCGGGUCGUAAACUCCUGUCAGGUGGGAAGAAUAGGUUGCAGCAAACAACUGCAACUGUUGACGGUACCACCAGAGGAAGCCCCGGCUAACUCCGUGCCAGCAGCCGCGGUAAUACGGAGGGGGCAAGCGUUAUUCGGAAUCAUUGGGCGUAAAGGGCGCGUAGGCGGCUUGGCAAGUCAAAGGUGAAAUCCCUCGGCCCAACCGAGGAACUGCCUUUGAAACUGCUUGGCUUGAGGCCGGGAGAGGGUAGCGGAAUUCCCAGUGUAGCGGUGAAAUGCGUAGAUAUUGGGAGGAACACCAGUGGCGAAGGCGGCUACCUGGACCGGUUCUGACGCUGAUGCGCGAAAGCGUGGGGAGCAAACAGGAUUAGAUACCCUGGUAGUCCACGCCGUAAACGAUGGGUACUCGGUGUCGCGGGUAUCGACCCCUGCGGUGCCUUAGCUAACGCGUUAAGUACCCCGCCUGGGGAGUACGGUCGCAAGGCUGA